AGCAGCCGCGGUAAUACGGAGGAUGCAAGCGUUAUCCGGAUUCAUUGGGUUUAAAGGGUGCGCAGGCGGAGAAUUAAGUCAGUGGUGAAAUCCUGCAGCUUAACUGUAGAAUUGUCAUUGAUACUGGUUUUCUUGAAUGCAGUUGAGGUAGGCGGAAUGUGUAAUGUAGCGGUGAAAUGCUUAGAUAUUACCCAGAACACCGAUUGCGAAGGCAGCUUACUAAACUGUGAUUGACGCUGAGGCACGAAAGCGUGGGGAGCGAACAGGAUUAGAUACCCUGGUAGUCCACGCUGUAAACUAUGAUCACUCGUUGUUGGCAAUACAUCGUCAGCGACUGAGCGAAAGCAUUAAGUGAUCCACCUGGGGAGUACGAUCGCAAGAUUGAAACUCAAAGGAAUUGACGGGGGCCCGCACAAGCGGAGGAACAUGUGGUUUAAUUCGAUGAUACGCGAGGAACCUUACCUGGGCUUAAAUGCAUAACGACGGACCGGGAAACUGGUCUUUCUUCGGACGGCAUGCAAGGUGCUGCAUGGCUGUCGUCAGCUCGUGCCGUGAGGUGUCGGGUUAAGUCCCAUAACGAGCGCAACCCUUAUCAUUAGUUGCCAGCGGGUAAUGCCGGGGACUCUAAUGAAACUGCCGGUGUAAACCGAGAGGAAGGUGGGGAUGACGUCAAGUCAGCACGGCCCUUAUGUCCAGGGCUACACACGUGUUACAAUGGUCAGUACAGAGGGAAGCUACCAGGCGACUGGAUGCUAAUCUCAAAAACUGGUCUCAGUUCGGAUCGGAGUCUGCAACUCGACUUCGUGAAGUUG
Molecule: ribosomal RNA, 812 nt
Filed under: uncultured organism
Description: bacterial SSU rRNA
Rfam family: Bacterial small subunit ribosomal RNA
Source: RNAcentral